Molecule: long non-coding RNA, 1265 nt
Organism: Pieris brassicae (large cabbage white)
Lineage: Eukaryota; Metazoa; Arthropoda; Insecta; Lepidoptera; Pieridae
Exons: 2
Source: RefSeq, a predicted model, not a curated record
CAGCUGGUUCCACAUAGUGGUGGUGCGCGGCAAAAAUUGACUUGAGAAACGCUCAGUUGAGGAACGACGGACAUCGAGGUAAUACGGAUGGUAUUUUGUAUUCUACCUUGAAGUGCGAAAUUGAAAAUCAGCUGCAGCCAUACUAUACAACCGUCCCUUCAGGUGUAGACAAAGACAGGACAAGAAGGUCCCUUCAAAGACAAGCUGUAGUUUGUGAAUUCUAUAGAAUAUAUUAGAAGCUUGUGAUAAUAAAACAAUAUACAAUUGGCCUUGAGCGUAUGGGUCAAGAUCGGGCAGUAAGUCAGGAGUUGAACCGGCCUACGUAGAGCUGGAUCGAGUGGAGAAGCACCUGCUGCCGCUGAAAGCCAGGAAUUGGUGGGAGGUGGUACAGGACAGGGAGCGCUGGAAGUUUCUAGUAUCGGUGCCCAUGACACUUUUUAGUUCGCAGAGCCAGCGGAAUGUAUGAUAAUAAAACACAACAAAUAAAGAUAAUAAUGUAUUUCUUUUCUUACAAAAUUAUUUACAACACUUUAUUAUGCAUGUAUCCAUUGUCAUAUGCAAUAGAGAUAAAUUAAUUGCGGCCAUUUACAUAGCAUUAACGAUAAUUACAUCUAAAACAGAUCAAUAGGCACCAUUUCCUAAAUACUUUAAAACACGCUAAAGGACUCUACAUACUCCCCAAAUUUAAAAGCAAUAAAUAUUGGAAUGUUGAAAAAUUCAAAAUACCCCUUGGUGACUAAUUUCAAGAGAUAUACAUGUAUGCCCCGGCACUUAAAUCGGUACGAUGUGACAGCGCGUAUGAAAACACUUUAAGAACUUAUUUGCCGGGAAUUUUAACUGAUGGCUGCAUUAAUAAAUUAAAAUCGCAAUAUACAAUAAUGAUAUAUGUCCAUCAUUGGUUUGUGUAGAGUCCAUAUAUUAUUUACAUUUAUAUUGGUUUAUGGAUUAGUAACUUCUAGAAUGCAUCGCCUUGAGUAUAUGCGCAGUUACAUAAUUAUCGACAUAAACGCACAAAUAAUAUACAUAUUUUAUUGACGUGUUCUCUAUAUAUACAAAUACGUAAUACCCGUGUAGGCAAUUGUAAUAUUUAUCUAUAAAGGUUUUGUUAUGAUCUUUAAUCUUUUAUAGUCACGGAAUAGAAUACUUGGAAGGGCAUAGUAUCGCCUUUUUGACAACCCAAUUUCACGUUGUAUAUCCAAAGUAUAUAAAGUAUUGUUUAAUAACACCACAAGUUGGCUAUACUCUUUUCCAUCCAAACAAAACUA